UAUAAUCUCCACCCGGCACAGCCAGAAGAGGACUGGCCACCCCUCAUAGCCUGGUUCCUCUCUAGGUUUAUAAUCUCCACCCGGCACAGCCAGAAGAGGACUGGCCACCCCUCAUAGCCUGGUUCCUCUCUAGGUUUAUAAUCUCCACCCGGCACAGCCAGAAGAGGACUGGCCACCCCUCAUAGCCUGGUUCCUCUCUAGGUUUAUAAUCUCCACCCGGCACAGCCAGAAGAGGACUGGCCACCCCUCAUAGCCUGGUUCCUCUCUAGGUUUAUAAUCUCCACCCGGCACAGCCAGAAGAGGACUGGCCACCCCUCAUAGCCUGGUUCCUCUCUAGGUUUAUAAUCUCCACCCGGCACAGCCAGAAGAGGACUGGCCACCCCUCAUAGCCUGGUUCCUCUCUAGGUUUAUAAUCCUCACCCCGCACAGCCAGAAGAGGA
Oncorhynchus keta (chum salmon) is the source of this 440-nucleotide long non-coding RNA. RefSeq lists it as uncharacterized. The transcript has 4 exons. The record is from RefSeq and is a predicted model, not a curated record. NCBI's taxonomy places the organism in Eukaryota, Metazoa, Chordata, Actinopteri, Salmoniformes, Salmonidae.